RNAcentral lists this long non-coding RNA (3294 nucleotides) under Mytilus galloprovincialis (Mediterranean mussel). The record is from RNAcentral. Lineage: Eukaryota; Metazoa; Mollusca; Bivalvia; Mytilida; Mytilidae.
UACAGAGUCAGCAUAGGUUAUAUCUAGCUCCUAUCUUAAGGUAAGUUUUCUGAUGUCUUACUAAAAUUGUCUGCUGUUAAUUUGAAUUAUUAUAUAAAAACUGCUUGUCUUUUUUCUUUAAAGGGAGGGUUUCAUGUACGGUAAAAAAAAUCUAUCCAACACAUUUCUUAGAGAAACAAUGUAUUUUUAUCAAAAAAACAAAUAUUCAAACUUGCUAUGCUAAUCAGAGUUCAAUUUUUGCAUUAUAAAUCAAUUGCAUGGUCACCUUAUAAGUUGGUAGAUAUAUAAACAAGAAGUAUAUUUAAUCUUGUUUUGAUACUUACCAUAUAGCAUAUUUAUAGCAGCAUUUCCCGCAUCUUGAAAGAGAAUAGAGAUUCAAUAUUGAAAAAAACCUUGGGAAGAAUGAACGAAAAGAAUUUUUUUAUUUAAUCUACUGUGUAUUUUCUCAUGAAUUACAUCCGAAAGAUUUCAAACAUGCAUCAUAUAUAAAUGAUUAUUUAACCCUUUUUUAACUCAUUUUACAAUUUUUUUUGUUUUUUUCCUUCUAGUUUUUUACUUUCAAGAAACUAGGUAUACCUGUAAUCGUAUUCUGCAGAAUAUAGCACAAUGUUCACUGUUUUAUUUAUAUUUUUGACAUUUCUACUAGUGUUGUCAAAUCGUACACUUUUGCCUAACCGGUUACUCGUAUAAUCGUUCGACCGAUUAACCGGUUAACCGGUAGUUUAAGUUAAUGUUUGAUUGAAUUGUUGGUUGCUUAACGUCCAUGGCAAAUAUUCAUGCCAUCAGACGAAGUUAAUGUUUGAAGGCCUUAUCUAAAGUACCCUACACAUCGAUUUAAGAAAAUGUGGUAUGAGUGUCAAUGUGACUACAUUCCAUCCAAGUCAUACAUUUACGUUUUUAUAAUACGAUGAAUGGAGUUUGCCUUUUGGUUUUAUAAUGCUUGGUCUGAGAUUCCUGUCGAAGUUUGACUUUUAAUAAUCAAAUACACGGUAUCAAUUAUGGCGUUUGUACUAACUUCAAAUUGAAAAAUAAAGAAAACGUCUUGAUCUUGAAAUUGAUUAAUCCUGAUACAUUGAUUACAUCAUAGAUGUAAUACAUCUAUGAUUACAUUCACGUUGGUUUGCUUUUUACAGUUUUUGAUUUAGUAUUUAGUUAUGACAAAGACCUGCACGACGCACAUUCAGAUGUAGGUCUACACAAUAUGAGAUCAAAAGUGAAAUAAUGAAGUAAAUCGUAAAAUUUAUCGUAUUACUUAAAAAUUAUGUUAAAAAAAACAUGAAACUAAUUAUGUUCCUUAAGACUUGCCCGAGCUGAAGACAAAUUUUGAUUAAUUUUAUAUUUUUGGAUUAACAAUACCAAUCAGUAUACUGGACAGUUGAUCCGUCAAAUUAAUUACCACGACAACAUUUUUUAAAGAAAACACUACUAUUUAAUGAUUUCAAUACACAUUUAUAUGAAAUCUAUUUAAAUUGAAAAAAAGUCCGGUUAACCGGUUAGCUUUUUUGGUAUUCGGUAUUCGAUCGUUCGAACGGUUAACCGGUUAACCGGUUAACCGCUGACAACACUAUUUCUACCUCUAUUGUCUGUUUGUUUUGUUAACAAAUCGUUGUCGAUAUAAUAGAACUUGAUGCGACUGUCAUGCACGUGAGAUGUUUAGCUAGGUAUAUAACCAGGUUUAAAACACCGUUUUCUACAUAAGAAAAUGGCUGAUCCAAGUUGUUAUCCAUUCGUUUGUUGUGUUUGAGCUUUUAAUUUUGUUAUUUGAUUUGGGACUUUCCAAUCGAAAUACUCAAUUCUUUUUUUUUUUUUUUUUAUCCUAAAAGUAACCAUUUUAUCUGUUGUGUAUUUUUUGCAAUACUUAUAAGUAAAUCUUAUUUCGUUUUCUAUGCAUUACAGACGAUCAACUAAAAUGUAUUUCACUUUCGCCGUUGUUUUGCUGACUGUCAUCAGUUCUGCCUACAGCUCUGGUAAAGACUCAUAUGGAUAUGGAAGCGGGUAUGGGUCUGGGUAUGGAUCCGGAGUUGGAUCUGGAUUCCUCCUAGGAGCUGUUGGGGGCGGAUAUGGUGGUUAUGGACUCGGAUCCGGUGUCGGCUCAUUAGCUGUUCUAGGAGGUGUAUCCGGCGGUGGAUAUGGACCAGUAGGUAAAGGCGGAUAUGGACCAGCACCAGUUGUUGUCAGUGGUGGAUACGGCUCUGGAUAUGGCUCUGGGUAUGGAUCCGGAGGUAGGAUCUGCAGUCCUUCUAGGAGGUGGUGGUAGUGGAUAUGGCGGAUAUGGACUCGGAUCCGGUGUCGGCUCAUUAGCUGUUCUGGGAGGUGUAUCCGGUGCUGGAUAUGGACCAGUAGGAAAAGGCGGAUACGGACCAGCACCAGUUGUUGUCAGUGGUGGAUACGGCUCUGGAUAUGGAUCCGGACUUGGUUCUGCAGUCCUUCUAGGAGGUGGCGGAAGCGGAUACGGACCAGUUUCCGUUGGAACUGUCGGUGUCGGAGGUGGUUAUGGUUACGGAAAAGGAUCAAAAUACUAGGUAUGCUUCCGUGGGAAACAAUACAAUACAAAAUCGGUUUCGGCACGGUUUCAAUGAUGGAUAAUGUUAUGUCAGACAGGUCCGACCUAGUGUCGAUGAUAUAUAAUAUGAAAGGUUUUACUUAAGCUAGAACUAUAAAGGUAUUUUUAACACUUCGAGAGGACUUUUCUUCUAAGCAAGAAGUCGUUGUAAAAUGAUCAAAUCGAGUCAUACAUACCAUUCUCUAUAAAUGUUAAAGGUAAAAGUCCUGGAAAAAAAGUUUAUAAAUAAUGGUAGGGUAUUCCUUCGAGAAUAUUUAGUAUUAUAAAUGACUUUAUAUCCAUUAGUUGUGACUAUUUGAAGCUGUAUAUUGUCAACAGGGGGAAUGCAUGAAUAAAUUAUUUUGAAAUAUGGAUUAUAACGCUAGUUUUGAUUCGAUGAGAAAUGUCGUAAUUUUAUUCAAUGGUUAACGUUCACCAUUAAAAAUGACUUUGCACAAUUGCAGUUGAGGUUUCAAAUGUUUGAUUUUAAAUAAAAUAGAUAGAAUUGUAUAAGAAUUAAUAUGAAAUAUUUAAGUGCAUAGAAUCAAAGCCAUGUCAUUUUAUAUUCAUUAUGAUUUAUAUUUACAGAUGAAUACAUUAUUUAAAGAUUUUCGAAGAUGAUGAAUCCAUAGUACUUUCAAUGUCAGAAAACAGUCCUUUGUCCGUGUAAACUCACACCUUACACCGGACGAGGGCUGUACCACAUCUACAGAAUUAUAUAGAUAAUGUUUAUUAAUAAAGAUUUGCCUCUG